Molecule: ribosomal RNA, 286 nt
Filed under: uncultured Paracoccus sp.
Lineage: Bacteria; Pseudomonadati; Pseudomonadota; Alphaproteobacteria; Rhodobacterales; Paracoccaceae
Description: partial 16S ribosomal RNA
Rfam family: Bacterial small subunit ribosomal RNA
Source: RNAcentral
CGGCCGCGUUGACCUUUCAGCUGGGAAGAUAAUGACGGUACCAGCAGAAGAAGCCCCGGCUAACUCCGUGCCAGCAGCCGCGGUAAUACGGAGGGGGCUAGCGUUGUUCGGAAUUACUGGGCGUAAAGCGCACGUAGGCGGACUGGAAAGUCAGAGGUGAAAUCCCAGGGCUCAACCUUGGAACUGCCUUUGAAACUAUCAGUCUGGAGUUCGAGAGAGGUGAGUGGAAUUCCGAGUGUAGAGGUGAAAUUCGUAGAUAUUCGGAGGAACACCAGUGAGCCGCCUU